RNAcentral lists this ribosomal RNA (492 nucleotides) under uncultured bacterium. RNAcentral describes it as "partial 16S ribosomal RNA". It matches the Rfam family "Bacterial small subunit ribosomal RNA", at positions 29 to 507 of the family's 1533-position model. The record is from RNAcentral.
AGUGAACGCUGGCGGUAGGCCUAACACAUGCAAGUCGAACGGCAGCACAGUAAGAGCUUGCUCUUACGGGUGGCGAGUGGCGGACGGGUGAGGAAUACAUCGGAAUCUACUUUUUCGUGGGGGAUAACGUAGGGAAACUUACGCUAAUACCGCAUACGACCUACGGGUGAAAGCAGGGGAUCUUCGGACCUUGCGCGAUCGAAUGAGCCGAUGUCGGAUUAGCUAGUUGGCGGGGUAAAGGCCCACCAAGGCGACGAUCCGUAGCUGGUCUGAGAGGAUGAUCAGCCACACUGGAACUGGGACACGGUCCAGACUCCUACGGGAGGCGGCAGUGGGGAAUAUGGGCCAAUGGGCGGAAGCCUGAUGCAGCCAUACCGCGUCGGUGAAGAAGGCCUUCGGGUUGUAAAGCCCUUUUGUUGGGAAAGAAAAGCAGCAGGUUAAUACCCCGCUGUUCUGACGGUACCCAAAGAAUAAGCACCGGCUAACUUCGUG